GACGAACGCUGGCGGCGUGCUUAACACAUGCAAGUCGAACGGAAAGGCCCUGCUUUUGUGGGGUGCUCGAGUGGCGAACGGGGGAGUAACACGUGAGUAACCUGCCCUUGACUUUGGGAUAACUUCAGGAAACUGGGGCUAAUACCGGAUAGGAGCUCCUGCUGCAUGGUGGGGGUUGGAAAGUUUCGGCGGUUGGGGAUGGACUCGCGGCUUAUCAGCUUGUUGGUGGGGUAGUGGCUUACCAAGGCUUUGACGGGUAGCCGGCCUGAGAGCGUGACCGGCGACAUUGGGACUGAGAUACGGACCAGACUCCUACGGGAGGCAGCAGUGGGGAAUAUUGCACAAUGGGCGGAAGCCUGAUGCAGCAACGCCGGGUGCGGGAUGACGGCCUUCGGGUUGUAAACCGCUUUCGCCGGUGACGAAGCGUGAGUGACGGUAAUGGGUAAAGAAGCACCGGCUAACUACGUG
RNAcentral lists this ribosomal RNA (468 nucleotides) under uncultured bacterium. RNAcentral's name for it is "partial 16S ribosomal RNA". It matches the Rfam family "Bacterial small subunit ribosomal RNA", at positions 28 to 507 of the family's 1533-position model. The record is from RNAcentral.